AGGUUGAGGGUGAUCUGGCUGCAACACUUGUCACCCCACUGAUCGCCAAGGUUGAUUCGGCUGAUCUGGCUGGUUAGGUGGGUGUUCUCUUCCUUUCUCACUGUCCCAUGUGCAUUUCUCCCGAAGGUGCGGGCUCUGUUCCUGUUGGUCUUUCCAGAACAGAGAGAGACCACUAUGAGCAGCUGGGUGCCCGGCUAGAACCUCCAAAUAAGUUCUCAAGAAUUGGGAAGUCAGAGAGGGUGUUAUGGGCAAGAAAAAAUCUAGGGAAAGU
This 271-nucleotide small nuclear RNA is filed under the name Sorex araneus (European shrew). Its description in RNAcentral is "7SK RNA (ENSSARG00000018140.1)". It matches the Rfam family "7SK RNA". From Rfam's summary of the family: 7SK was discovered as an abundant small nuclear RNA in the mid-70s but a possible function has only recently been suggested. Two independent studies have found that 7SK RNA binds the CDK9/cyclin T complex (known as elongation factor P-TEFb). Lineage: Eukaryota; Metazoa; Chordata; Mammalia; Eulipotyphla; Soricidae. The record is from RNAcentral.